Molecule: non-coding RNA, 114 nt
Organism: Arthrobacter sp. Soil763
Lineage: Bacteria; Bacillati; Actinomycetota; Actinomycetes; Micrococcales; Micrococcaceae
Source: Rfam
GGUCACGAGUGCCAGCGCUAAACCCCGGUUUGCUGGCCGGCAACCCUCCUUUCGCGGCGGGGUGCCCCGGGUGACGACCUGGCCGGUCCGGAGCGGACCCGGCAAGCGCGGAUC